This 1353-nucleotide long non-coding RNA is filed under the name Homo sapiens (human). RNAcentral describes it as "cancer susceptibility 22". Lineage: Eukaryota; Metazoa; Chordata; Mammalia; Primates; Hominidae. The record is from RNAcentral.
AGAAUCCCUGCAACUUUGAGCAAGUUCGUGAAUCUCACUAAGGCUCAGUUUCCUCCAUAAAAUUAAUCAAUAUCAGGGCCUCUGCAUUGGACAACUCCAGAGGGCACCAUUGGGGUUAUACCUUGUGUUUGCCUAACCUUCAUUGCAGUGGGCAGGUGCAUGCUUUCUACAAUGUCCUAAGGUCUAAAGGGGUAGAGUUCUGUGUGUGGCAUUUUAGGCCUGGAAAGGAUGAGAGUCUACAAAACCAGAGAAAUACUGCAGCAAAUGGUCAAACCCAGGAGGGAAUGGUAUGAACCUCUGGUUUACAGCCAUUGGUAAGAAGCACACAUGACAACCUGGACUUUCCAUCAACAUUUGAAGCGGGAGCAGUCUUGUGGGAUCAAGCUCUUAACCUGUGGGGUCUGCUACUAACUCUGAAUCCAAUGAACACAUGGACCCAACACUCCUUUGGCCAAGUUGAUGAUUCUCCACCAUUUAUUUGCCUGCCUCACUAUACACUUCUAGCAAGCCACUGCAAGGCUGCAUUGCAGCUAAGAGGAAGCCCUCCUUGAAGGCUGCACAGCAAGGAGUGUUGGCAGAGUAGCUGGGUUUCCACUGGGAGAGCACGAGUCAGCAUCAUGCUGGGCUCAAGCAUGGAUAUGCACUGCUGCUGCCAGAGCAUCAUAAUUUGCAAGCAUUUAUCGAGUACCCUUCAUCUAAUUUUCAUCCUGCGGAAACUAGAAAUUGCUACACUUGCACACAAUAAACUUCUGGCAGUUAGCCUUCUAAACUGGGACACUACCAUUUGGGAGGGAAAAGACCUUUCUGGUGGUUAAAGAUGGGGCUUCCAGUUACUGCAUUUGUUUUAAUACAGUCUAUUCCAUAGAGCCAUCGAUGGAGACUCAUUAUAUAACCUUUCGUGGAAAGCUUCUGACUUCUUUCUCAAUGCACAGUGCUUCACGUGACUUUUGAGUUAUAGCUGACUGCCCUAGCUCACAUUUUAGUGCCAGAAGAUCCCAGACCACCACCCAUGAUCCCAGGCUGGAGGAAGCAGCAGGCUAGCGGAAUUCAGGACCAAUGAGCCAGGAAAGAGGACCCAAUGCAGAGCUCACAUCCCACCCUCCUUCCCCCAUGACAAAGCACUGGCAAACCCUGCCAAAGAAGAAGCUUGGCUGCAAAGCAGUCUGGAACUGGACCCGGGAUAGAUUCACCAGGAGCUCACCACCACAGGGAAUGCUGCACUUUGACUGGACAGAAUGCAUCCUCCAUGCCCACAGAGCAUGUGCCCAGGAUGAAUCUCACUGUAUCCCAGUUCCUCAUGCUUGGCCCCAAACCUCUUUUUCACAGUAAUAAAGAAAACACACUUUACAAAAA